GAUAUUGUCGCGGUCGGCUGAUCUCGUGGCCGCGCCACGCUUUCCUUGGCGAGAGAGAGAGAGAGAGAGAGAGAGAGAGAGAGAGAGAGAGCUACUGGCAAACGGGUGGGGUAAGAGGCUAGACAAGCAAAGUUUAGAGAGUGUGGGAAGGCAUCUAAACGCCUUUGGCUAAGCGGAGCUUCUCCUGAUUUGUGAGCGGCUGGCAGGCUGGCAACUUUUCCGCUGCUGCUCCAUCACUGGAGGUUUUAAGAGACUGGACAGCCACUUGUCCGAAAUGGUAUAGCGUCUCCUGCUUGAGCAGGGGGCUGGACUAGAAGACCUCCAAGGUCCCUUCAGCUCUAUUCUGAUUGUUGGAUUUUCUUGGAUGCAAUAGAGAGGAAAGCACGGUGGGUUUUUCUCCCCUAUAGAGACACCCCUCCGGGAAGACAGGUCCGAGAAGAUGGCCAAGGCCAACAGCACCACCAGACAGCUUUGGAAGUUCCUCUGGACUGCUGCCCUCACCCUCUGCGUCCAUCUGCAGCCACAACUAGCCAAUUGUGUUUCCUCUUCACCUGACAUGAAUCGUUUUAUCUCCUGUUUGUUGCAACAUGCAAGAAAUAGAGCAGAGAACUGUUCCCGCUUUUACGAACUUUUCUGCUUUUGAUUCCCUCAUCCCACUGUUCAAGGAGGAGAAAAUAUUGAGAAGGAGAUCCAGGAAGAUACAAUCUCUGCGUUGCAUCUUCGCCUUGUGAUUAAUCUGGAAGUGAUUUUCGUUAGCUCACGUCAUUUUUUUUAAAAUUGUGUGUCGUUGAAGAGCAUUUUAUUGGGUGCUGCAAAGACUUGAACAGGAAAACAUAACAACU
Molecule: long non-coding RNA, 842 nt
Filed under: Naja naja (Indian cobra)
Lineage: Eukaryota; Metazoa; Chordata; Lepidosauria; Squamata; Elapidae
Description: lncRNA (ENSNNAG00000004402.1)
Source: RNAcentral